CAGUUUGUCUGUGAGAUGAUUGCCCAACCAGAAGGAUCGUGGUAAACUUUUCCUUUUGUGGGUUAAAGAACAACAACUUCUUGACUUUGCAUUGUAUUUUGAGAUGCCACCGUGUCGGCAUACAACCCAUUUCAAUUGUACAGCGCCAUUGGAAAAUGUUAGAAGAAUUGAACAAUAAAUUGAAAAAAAAGAGACAUUUUUCCUGUGGAAAAAAACAAUUAGUGAACAAAUCAAGCAGAUGUUCUUCAGACAGCAACACAAGGUUUUGUGACGCUAUUAUUAUUUAUUCAGCUAUAUUAAUUUCUAUAUCAUCUAAAGGAGGCUCGACAGGAAUAGUAGGGGAAGCGCUACCUAAGGGGUUUCCACAUUACAGGACAGCAGAAGAACAAGGUUCUUGCUCUCAAAGUUGCACGUUGUCCCAGUAUUCCCCUCUAAGAACCCCCCACACUGAGAUUGUGUUCUCCCUUCAACUGUCGCCCAGGUCUCCUGCUGCUUUGUUCCGCGUUAUCUUAUGAUGCUGACGUUGGGAUGGGCAGGUACACCGCCGGCUGAACCGAUGCAAAGUUCUCCCUGGUCCGUCAGUGUUCUUGCCCGACUGCUGUGGCGGCUCCAGGUGGGGGCCAAUCUGUUGUAUUUUUCAAUUUUCGAGUGUCUUGAUUGACCUGAAUGAGCGUUUCUGAACAUGGCAGUGACAUUUAUACCAGAUUACGUCUGAGAAACAAUUCAUCCCCCCCUCCCCCCGCGGUGACGACGUCUCCACACAUGGCAGCGCUCUGUCCACGUUCCUUCUCAUCUCUUGAUUGGACUUGUUAGUGUUUGGAGACAGAUGACGUAUGUCAGGGUUUCGCUCAGUAAGUUCACUAUUAACACACAAGCACAUCCUGUCCAGAUGGAGUGUGUGUGCUUCACAAAGCAGACCAUCCCGUGACAAUGGAUCAAUCACCACAGAUUGCGAGAACUCAAAUGAAAAAUGUGGUCCCCUGCAGGAGCCUUGCGGUUUAUACCUGCGAGCAGACCAAGGGGAAUGAGGAUGGCAGUGUUAUUUACGGGAGAUGGACAUUUUAGACUGUGGUUGUCCCGAUUAGGACUUGAUAUAGUGUUGGAUCCGGGAGUUUCUGCCCCCCACUAAAGUACUCAGCUCUAGAACCGAGCCUCUAUCUCUGCAAGCAUAAAGUCUGUUUGAAUUAUCUGGGUGUCUCGAUAAAGGUUUUAUCCAGACGUGAAAACAUCCUUACGUUGUGGCGAUGGGGGCGGAUGGAGUAGAGCCGGUGCGCCGGGAAUCGUAAGGUUGGCGGUUUGAACCCCGGUUGCUCCGUGGUCCACGUUGAGUGUCCCUGAGUAAGACACUUAACUGCUCCCCGGGUCAUGAAAGUAAAACCAUGCAAUAUAAGUU
Gasterosteus aculeatus aculeatus (three-spined stickleback) is the source of this 1393-nucleotide long non-coding RNA. The record is from Ensembl. Lineage: Eukaryota; Metazoa; Chordata; Actinopteri; Perciformes; Gasterosteidae.